Molecule: non-coding RNA, 1960 nt
Organism: Triticum urartu
Lineage: Eukaryota; Viridiplantae; Streptophyta; Magnoliopsida; Poales; Poaceae
Source: RefSeq, a predicted model, not a curated record
CUCUAGCGCUGCCGCCCACCCUAUCUCUGCCCACCGGAGCCCAUCCUCUCCCCCGCCGGUGGAAUGCUCCCACUGCCCCAGCCAUCCCCCACCCUGUAUCUCCACACCAGCAGAGAACACGGUCCCAACCCAAAGGAGCACACAGAUGUGAGAGGCCGGAUCGAGCCCAUCCCCGCCUCCACGGUCGUCGGCCCGCCGCCCACGAUGGCACUAACGCUGCCCCAAUCCUAUAACCGAUGAAUUCAUAACUUGCACCACUCUCGUUUGUUGCCUUCCCCAUGCCAGCGCGCGUGAGGCGUCGCUAUUGGAUCGAUGGAGCGUGUGCUAUAUGUGUGCGCGCGUGCGCCUGAACGCUAGGGUGGCGUGCAGGAGCUCCUCCUUCUCCUCCCUUUUCCUCUCUCCCGGUACUCGAGGUGGAGCUUGAGCUGGGCGGGACGCUGAGCAUGAGUUCUUGGGGGCAGAGGAGGAAAACGGUCAGGUAGCAGGCGUGGACAUUGUGGAGCGGUUGUGUGCGGAGGAGAGCGUGAACGCUGGGAUGGCUAUUGUUAAUUUUGCUGCUCUGCCCUGAUAUACUGCUAUUGCAUAUAUAAAGAGAUCGUGGAGGAAAGCAGCAGCCUACUGCUGCAAUUAUUUCCAUGCUUCUACCGGUUUUGUUCAUGCUAUUACUUGCUUACUGAUUACAACUGCUAAUAUUAGGUACUGCUCAUGAUUUGUAGAUAUGUAUGCUGCUAGGUACUCGUGAGCAUGGUGACAAGGGAUCGGUGUUGCAGCCAUAGCGUCUGGUGGCCAUAAAGUGGCAGCCACUACUUAGUUACGUAAUCUAGCUGGCAAUGGUGAGAAGACUUUGAUCAUGAUAUAUUAGAUGUAAGCCCCAUACACCAUGGGCGGUCCUCCUUUUGGUGAUAUGAGCCGGUGAGCUUUCUCCAUCUCCACCCUCUAAUACAGAUUGGUUCUGCAUUAUGCAUUUGUGGCUUAGAUAAGAAAGGAAUGUUUCUAUCUAAAUAUUAUCCAGUUAAUCUUUCUUUGUCUAAAUCGAUUUAGGAGAAGAGAUAGAGAGAAGAACAAGUUACUGGUGUGGUUCAUUUGGGAAAUUUAGUACUUUGUUUAUACUGCUUUGUUUUAGGGGAUGAAAUAAAGAGAAGAAGAAAUUCCUGUGAUGGAUCUCUAUGAAAGUUGUUACAUGAAGUAUUUUAUCUAGAACGUCUACUUUGAAUAUCCCUGGUGUUGGGUUUGGUCUUCAUUCAGUCUCCAAAUUAUAUGGUUUGGUAAGAUUUUCCUUCUUUGCAAAUUUGAUUGCUUAAUGGUGUGUACGCCAACACCCGUCUCCCACUGGUUGUGUCCCUUGCGUGCUCAUGGACAUCACCAGCGUCUAUGGGAUAUGAGGAGUAUCCCACAUUUACUCUGACGAGCAUUACAAGCUCUGAACUUUACAUAUUACCAUGACGAGUCUGCCAUGUCUCAGUUCUCGGCUUCCAGGGAUAAGUGCUGCCAUGGUGGCGCAGUCACACUGGCACAACACCCCGCGUCGUUCGCGCCGAUGCUGAUGUGUUCUGCCUCCAUGCUUCGCCCUGCGAUUCCAUCCGCUGGGAGAUAGUAGCCCAAACACACCAUGUCGUGGGCUGGCAUACCAUGGUCGGAGACUAGACCAAGUGCUCGGCAUGGAGCCACAUUAUAUAGUCUAUUGGCAGAUUUAGAUUCCCCUCAAAAAAUAAUACCAUUGUGUUAAUGUUGAAUACUAUUUCGAGUUUGCGAGACAACAACCGCUACAAUAAAAUUUGCAACUUAGCAUGUUUAGUGCAUUCUGGUUGUGAGUAGAUGUAUUUUAGUUUAAGGAAUAUGUGUCCUUGUGGCCACUUGUAGUUUAACAUUUUGUCAUUUUUUGCAAAGAUGUUCUCCUGUAGUUAUUUGAUUACUAUUUGACCCACGUCAUUUGCAAAUAUUUAUGUUUGCCGAUUGUCCA